This 465-nucleotide ribosomal RNA is filed under the name Vreelandella stevensii. RNAcentral's name for it is "partial 16S ribosomal RNA". It matches the Rfam family "Bacterial small subunit ribosomal RNA", at positions 338 to 795 of the family's 1533-position model. The record is from RNAcentral. Lineage: Bacteria; Pseudomonadati; Pseudomonadota; Gammaproteobacteria; Oceanospirillales; Halomonadaceae.
CCUACGGGCGGCUGCAGUGGGGAAUAUUGGACAAUGGGGGGAACCCUGAUCCAGCCAUGCCGCGUGUGUGAAGAAGGCCCUCGGGUUGUAAAGCACUUUCAGUGAGGAAGAACGCCUGGUGGUUAAUACCCAUCAGGAAAGACAUCACUCACAGAAGAAGCACCGGCUAACUCCGUGCCAGCAGCCGCGGUAAUACGGAGGGUGCGAGCGUUAAUCGGAAUUACUGGGCGUAAAGCGCGCGUAGGUGGCUUGAUAAUCCGGUUGUGAAAGCCCCGGGCUCAACCUGGGAACGGCAUCCGGAACUGUCAAGCUAGAGUGCAGGAGAGGAAGGUAGAAUUCCCGGUGUAGCGGUGAAAUGCGUAGAGAUCGGGAGGAAUACCAGUGGCGAAGGCGGCCUUCUGGACUGACACUGACACUGAGGUGCGAAAGCGUGGGUAGCAAACAGGAUUAGAUACCCUGGUAGUC